CGGUAUAGUGACCGUGCGAAGGUAGCAUAAUGAUUUGUUCUUUAAUUGGGGACUGGUAUGAAUGGUUGAACGAAAGGCAGACUGUCUCUUAUGCAUAUAUUGAAUUUAACAUUUGAGUGAAAAGGCUCAAAUAGCUCAGGGGGACGAUAAGACCCUAUAAAUCUUUAUUCUAUUAGUGAAUAACAUUGAAAAUUAUAAUUUAUAAUUCUAUGUUAUUUAACUUUGGUAUUUGGUUGGGGCGACAGGAGUAUAAAUAAAUAACUGCUCUAAAUGUUUAGUUAGUUGUAGCUAAAUUGUUAAUAAGUGAUCCUUUAUUAUGGAUUAUAGAUUAAGUUACUUUAGGGAUAACAGCGUAAUCUCGCCUGAGAGUUCAUAUCGAAGGCGGGGCUUGCGACCUCGAUGUUGAAUUAAAGGUCCUCUACGGUGCAGGAG
This 432-nucleotide ribosomal RNA is filed under the name Projasus bahamondei. RNAcentral's name for it is "partial 16S ribosomal RNA". It matches the Rfam family "Archaeal large subunit ribosomal RNA", at positions 2011 to 2630 of the family's 2987-position model. The record is from RNAcentral. Lineage: Eukaryota; Metazoa; Arthropoda; Malacostraca; Decapoda; Palinuridae.